UCCAUUUAUACAGUCCUUUUACAGAUCAAAAUACAAACCAGAUCAGCCCAUUAACCCAAUACCCAAGCCCAAGUCAAAAUCCUAUCCCAACUAUCUUAAAAAUUUUCAACAAUUCAAACCCUAGCUCCACAAGCCUUGCGCCGCUGCCUCCAUGUGCUGGCCUCAGGGUGCACAACACCCGAAACAGGUGUCCCAUACCAUCGCCCAUACCUUCUGCCCUCCACGCCUCUGACCACACCUGCAAAAGAAAAGACAAACAAGGAGCAGAAAACCGAAACAAGACACGAACAGUGGUAGAGACAAAGAAAAACAAUAUUUUUCUACUAUUGUAAUCGGCUAUAAAGCCAAGAAGAAGUCAAAACGAAGGGGGGACGGAUUGUAAAAAAAAAAAUUUUCUUACAAAAAGAAGGAAUGUGACACAGAUAUUAGGAAUCACAACGCAUACAAGCAAAUCAAAAAGUUUGGAAACUAAAAGGUGUUCUUGGUUCUUUUGAUUUUUUUUAUUUUAAUUAUUUUUUUUCUUUUGUAUUUUUUUUAUCUUCUCGAAUCUGUUUAAGAAAAAAAACUAAAAGGAAGGAAUGGCUCACCUGAAUCCCUUCAAGCUCGCCAUCGGGGUGAUUUCUCCGUCAUUGUAAUCGAGUUCGACAAAGGGACAAAGAACUCAUUUUUUCCUUCGUUCUUGGGUGGCUGAAGGUUUAGUCUUCAAAGGAAGCUUUGAAGAUAGAGCUCAAAAGCUCGUCCUCCGCAACGCCGGUCACCAGCCAUGGCUGCGUGUAGGUGAGCAUGAAAUGGCCUUGUCGGCUGAAAAGAAGGAGAAGAGAUAGAGGAGUCUGAAAGUGUUAGGUUUAGAAAAUAAAAUAAAAAAGGAAAUAAAGGCAUAGAUGGUUUCAAAAUAAAAGUAUGAUUUAAAUAAUAAAACUAAAACAAUGCCGUUUGGGUAAAGGAAAAGAGCUUAUGCGCCUAAAAUGGGUUAUUUAUGUGGCCAAUCCCUCUCUUUUGCGCUGCUAUUGGAUUAGGCCCCUGUUCUUCUUUUUAUUGUUUUUAAUAUGGCCGCAUAAUUUUCUCCCAAUUACAUUUGAGUCCCUGCUGAAAUAAUGCACAUAAAGGCUGGGAUUAUUUCCCUUUUAGUCCCUCCAUGUUAUUCGCGUGUUCUAAUAGGUCCUCCCCUCUCCCUUUUUGUUUCGAAUCUAUCCCCUAACUCUUGUUUUAAAUUCAAUUUGGUCCCAUUUCCUUUUUUAUUCUAUUAUUUUCGCCCCGAAUUUCUGUUUAAAGUUCAAAUUAGCCCUUUUGGCUACCUUUGUUAUCUUAUAAAUUAAUAUUAUUGUUACUUUAUAAUCACAUUUUGUAUGCUUAUUUUCGCUAUUAUUAUUAUAUUAGCUUUCAUUCUUUAUUAUUAUGGUUGUUGCUAUUUCUCUUGAUUAUUUUGUUAUCAUUUAUGUUAUUAUUAAUAUUCAUUGGUUUAUCGUCAUCAUUAUCUUAUCACUUUAUUAUUGUCAUUAUCAAUAUGCUAUCAUUAUUCUCAUCAAUGUAUUGUCAUCAUUAGUUUCUAUUUUAUUAUUAUUAUAUGCUAUCAUUAUUCUCAUUAAUGUAUUGUCAUUAUUAGUCUCUAUUUUAUUAUUAUUAUAUUAUUACUAUUGCUAUCAUCAUAUUAUUGAACUAGGUAACUUUAUAUUGGUUUUGUUAUAUUGUAUUUUUUUGGCAUUUAUUUAUAUUAUUAUUACCAUUAUUAUUAUCAUAUAUUUUAUAUUAUUUUAUUUUACAUAUGUUAUUUCUUUUAAACUAUUAUACAUAUUGUUUAUUUUGAAACUUUUAUAUACAUUUUUGUAUUUUAAAUUAUUAUGUAUAUUAUUUACUUUAAUAUUAUAUAUAUUAUUUAUUUUAGACCUUUUUAUAUUAUUUUAAAUUGUCAUAUGUUAUUCAUUUCAAAUCGCUUUAUUUUACCUUAAAUUGUUUUGUAUGUUAAUAAUUUUAAAUUAUUUUAUACUACUUACUUAAAAUUAUGUCUUUAUAAUAUCUAUUUUGAACUUAUUUUUAUAUAUUACUUAGUCAAAAUUGUUUAAUCAUUUAUUUCAAAUUGUUUUAUAUUAUUUCAUUCUUUUGAUUAUUAGUGUUGUCUUUUAAAUGAUGUAUGCCGAGAAAUUAUUGCCAUUACGUGUUCUUUAAUUUGUUUAUUCAUGUUCACAUUAUUGUCAUUCCCUAGUAAUAUUCCUAUUCAUAUAUUAUCAUCCUAUGCCCAUUAUUAUAUUUCUAUUUCAUAGCAUCUGUAACACCCCAAUCCCGUAUCCGUCGCCGGAAUAGAUAAAGGGGCAUUACCAGUCUUGAAACUCAUAUCAGAACAGUAAAUUUUUUUUUUUUGAACAUUCCUUUAGAUAAGUACUAAAGAUAGUCAGGGAUACAAUUUAAACUUCUAUAAGUACACAUUCAAAAGAUGCCAUUUUCGCAUGGCUUAUAUACAUUAACCAAAAUAUCCUCUCACUACUAGUCUAUUCUAUACAUGCCAUAAGAUAAUCCAAAACGUAGCAGUACCAAACAGUGGAUAGUGAUAGUGUGACUAGUUGCUGAUGAUCCCCGAGCCUGUAGCUUCCAAAUGAGAUCUAUAAAACAGAGGAAACAAAGAACACGGAGUAAGCAUUAUAAUGCUUAGUAAGUUUUAAGCAGUGUCAACAGAUAACAAUCAAAUUAUAACAUAGUUGUUCGUAUUUUUAUUUCACUCUUCCUUCGGGCAUACCAUCCCUUUACCGAAUAUGCACAUCUCAUCAUAUAUAAUAGGCAGAUAAAUCCUCACUUGAUAGUGACCUCUUAUGAUCAUAGGUACAUUACAUAUUUUUUUUUCCUGACUUUCCACAUUGACCAAAUGCACAAUAAUCAUAGAACAGUCUUAUUGCUUUACUCCCAUGUGCAUCACAUAACGACCUUGUGGUUUAGUCUAAAUCAAACUUAAAUAUAAUCUCAAAAUACAUACCUGACCAACUUAACGCAUUGAACGUAUUUAUUACCAAUUGUUACUGUGAAGUUGUAUAAUCUUACGCUUUACUUGAAUCUUCAGCAAAACCUUUAGUUCGGGGCUUACCUGGACAAAAUCUCCACACGUAGUCAUCGGGUCUUUAGAGCUCGGAUAUAGUACGAGCACGAAGCCUACGGACAUUAAUCAGUGAUAAUAUUCUCGCAUAAAGCCUACGGGGUUUUAACCCAGAUAUAGUACUGACACAAAUGCCCUUCGAGACUUAUCACAUUUAUACACUUUCACAUCCAUCACGUUGGCCACUCGGCCCUAUCACAUAUAUACACUUUCACAUUCAUCACAUUGGCCAUUCGGCCUUAUCACAUAUAUACACUUUCACAUUCAUCACAUCGGCCAUUAGGCCUUAUCAUAUAUAUACACUUUCACAUUCGUCACAUCGGCCAUUAGGCCUUAUCACAUAUAUACACUUUCACAUUCGUCACAUCGGCCAUUAGGCCUUAUCACAUAUAUACACUUUCACAUUCGUCACAUCGGCCAUUAGGCCUUAUCACAUAUAUACACUUCCACAUUCAUCACAUCGGCCAUUAGGCCUUAUCACAUAUAUACACUUUCACAUUCAUCACAUCGGCUAUUAGGCCUUAUCACAUAUAUACACUUUCACAUUCAUCACAUCAGCCAUUAGGCCUUAUCACAUAUAUACACUUUCACAUUUAUUCAACUAUACUUCACAUACCACAUAUACUAUCAUGUACAGACUUGGUCUUGGCCGAAUCUACAUCCAUCACUUUCCAAUGAAUAAUUCAAUUUUAUGCCAUACUAUCAUUUCAUAUUCGAAUACUCAUAAACUUACAAUAUCACGAUUUAGAAUUCAAGUAUGGGUUUAAUCAAUAGCUUAUGAGCAACUAAAACAAGUUUUAUCCAUGUUUACAACAAAAUCACAUAUUCACUACGAGCUGUUUUCCUGAGAAAUGGUCACUAAAUUAUUUAUAAUCGGAGCUAGAAGACUCCAAAUCACUUUCCGUUAAUUUUCCCUGAAUAUAGACUCAUAUAUCUUUCAUCCAUAAAUUUUUCAGAAUUUUAGGUUUGGCCAAUCAAUACCAGAUUUUUCUUAAAGUUUCCCCUGUUUCACUGUUUGACUAAUCUGACCAGUCUUCACUACGAAUCAAAAUUCUCAUUGUACAGAAUUCAAAGUAUGUUCUAUUUGAUUUAAUUUGAAACUAGACUCAUUAAGGAGUCUAAGCAUAUAAAUUUUAUCUUGUAACCAUUUUUGUACAAAUUAUAGUGAUUUUCUUAAUACAGAAUAGGGGAUUUCGGUGUCAUUCUGACACCGUCUCACACAACUUUAAAUAUCUAUUUAUAGGAAAUUCCUUUGCUUACACGGUCUCUUUUAUAAGAAACUAGACUAAUUAAGCUUUGAUUGUAUAUUUUAUUCAGCCUAUAAUUCCACACCAAACAUUUAUAGUGAUUUUCUAAAAUCACGUUACUGCUGCUGUCCUGAGCAGAUUAUUACAAUUUGCUCUUAAAUUUCCAAGUCCAAACACUUAGGAACUUACCAUUUGAGUUUAAGACAUAUCAUGGCCACAUCAUAUCUCAUUAAAUCAACUCAUUAUAUCCUAUUAUAGUUGAAUUUACUCAACAUUUAGUCACUUAAAACUUACCUCGGAUGUGGUCGAACAAUUUCGGCUUUGAUAUUAAAUAGUGGUCCAUUACCGUCCACUUACCUUUGAUACCAACAAGGCAAGGAUGUAUGGCUUCCCCUUUUUUUAUUUUAAAAUUUAAACCAUUAACUAUUAUAAUAUAAUAUAUAAUGCAUAUAUGGCUAUUCAACCAUCAUCAUGGCCGGCCACUUACAUAAAAAUGGGGAAUUUGACAUGCAAAUCCCCAUAUUUUAAGCCAUGCAAUAUUUGACCACUACACUUCAACCUACCACAAUUUUAAUAUUUUUCACAUAAGUCCUUUUUAACUAAAUUCACAUAAAAAUAAUCAAAUUAAUGCAUGAAACUUUCACACAUGCAUUUACUCACAUUAUAAACAUGGAAUAUAUCUUUUAAUUUCUUAUAGGGCUCGGUUUCGUGGUCCCGAAACCACUUUCCGACUAAGGUCAGUUUAGGGCUGUCACAGCAUCGUAUCGUAUAUUAAGCCCCAAUACAUUCUUUCAAUUUAGAUUACUUUAUUUUAUUUCAAACAAAAAAAAACCCCAUUUUAAUCUUCACUUUCAAAACCAAAGUCAAUCCCGUUUUCAAAAAAUGGUUAUGACACUAUCUUGUAUGUUAUGUUUUAUCAUGUUAACGCGCUCCUUCAUGCAUCGGUUUUAAAAAUGAGACUUCAAGGAUUUGAAAAAAUAUAAAGGCAAUGCUUGGUGUUUGAAAAUCUUGAGAAAGUAGUGCCCUAACUUAUUGGGUUGCCACUUUUCUCAUUGAAUUCAAAUAAUUAAGUACCCUUCUGAGUUUUUUUAAAGGUUUUCUUAAUGCAAGCCACUAUCUUGGAAUUUCAAAGCAAUAUGUCCUAACUUAUUGGAUAUAGCGUUUUGCUGUCCCGAAAUAGGAAUUUCAAAAAAAGGUUAACUUAAUGUCAAUACCUUGACGCGAGCGAAUCCCAAUUUUCAAAUUUAAAAUAUUUUAAUGAGUACUACAUCUUAAAAUUUUUUUUCUUUUUUUCCGACAUUCAAGACAUUUGAUAAUCAAUUAAGUACCAAUUUUUGGGUGUUACGAGGGUGCUAAUCCUUCCUCGUACGUAACCGACUCCCGAACCCGUUCUUUUUAUUUCGUGGACCAAAACUAAUGAUUUUAAAACAAAAUGUUUUAAAGGUGAUCCGAUCACACCUAAAAAUAUUGGUGGCGACUCCCGUUUUUGUUUUUUAAAAUCGAUUCCCACUUUCCAAAACACGGAUUGAAAAAGGUUUCGACAGCUUGGCGACUCCGUUGGGGACUAAUAAGAGAGUCAGGCCAUGUAAUUGAUUAUCUCUUGUCUUAAUGUCGGAAAUUAAAAAUUUUAAAAUUUAAUCCUCUUUGUAUUACAUGUGUUUGUAUUAUUGCAUGCUAUAUUCUGAUCGCAUUGCAUUUGCAUGACCGUUGUGGUCACACCCUUAAGUGGCAGUGAGAAACUACGCCUUCGUGAGGUUUUCGCCUCCGUUCAGGAUAGUGGAUCACUUUCGGGAUACAUCCGUACCUAUGGUUUCGUGAGAUUUUCAUCUCCGUGUAGCCAUAGGGAAAUGUAUUCCCCUGAACUAAACUCGAUUCAAAUGAGCCUAUAAUGGGUGAGGAUCGAGGAAUCUGCUGGUUCGGGUACCUCAAACUUUAGAACCAACCCCAUGUCGAAGGACCGUAUAAGCCCAACUUAGACAUUACCCUUAUAAGUUAUCGUUGAAAUUUAUUGAUAUCAUGUGAUACUGACAAUCUCUUUUCUUUUGCUUGCAUGUCAUUUUGCAUUUACAAAGAUAUCGGUUCACGGUCAGUUUCUAAGUUAGGAAGUUUUAUUAUGGAGAACGGACUUCUUGAUAAAGUGGAAGGCAACGUUAACGUCCACAGAUGGUCCGAGCAAACUCAACUAGAAAAGGGAGAUAGUAUAGCUGAGGGAUACAUAUCGGAGUUGUCAGAUUACAAUCAUAUUAGCGUCACGCAGAAUAAUCUCCAGGAGCUUAAGGCAAUUUGGGAUCAGUGGGGCAAAGAGACUAAGCAAUUAUUCUACGGUAAUUAUGGAGACUUAGCUUACUUGCUUGAUGUUCAGAUAGACGAGCACUUAUUCCGAGCCCUUGCUCAGUUUUGGAACCCGACGUACAGUUACUUCACUUUUGGGGAAGUAGACAUGGUACCUACUGUGGAAGAGUACACUGCUUUACUUCGUUGUCCCCGGUUUCAGAAUGAUAGGAUCUAUUCCCGAGCUCCUUGUGUCCCUACCUUUUGGAAGAAAUUGAUGAUUAUUACGGGGAUGAGCGAGUAGUGGGCCACAGCCCAAAUUAAAGAAAAGGGUGAGUGCAAGUGCAUUUCGUGGGAUGCUUUAAAAGAUUUGAUUCUGACACACCCUGAUGAGACAAAGAAGGUAGAUGUUUUUGCCUUAAGUUUAUAUGGAUUGAUGGUUUUCCCUAGGGUUUUCCCAAGAACAGGUUAGAAAAAGGGAUCAUGUCAUUGCUGAAGCCAUAGCCCAGAUUCGAGAUGUUGCUGAGUAUGUGCAAGACUUGGCAAUUCGAGCUGGCAUUUUGAGUCUGAUGUAUUCAUCAUCGUCAGAUGUAGGACGAGAGUUAGCCCUUUUAUUAGAUAGAGUUAAAGCUUUGGGCGAAAGCGUAUUUGUAAUCCUCCUAUAUGUAAAGAUAUUCUUUUUCUAAAUAAAAUUUUCUAAAUGAAGUUGAACCAGAAUCGAUAUUCUUUUUUGCAUUCAUGCAUUUGCAUCUCAUAACAUGCCAUCACAUCAUUUGCAUUCAAAGUUAUAGAAAGACCCUGAUUAAUUAAAGUUUACUUUCCAAAGGUAGAAAAGAAAACCUGGAAAUCACACAUCCUUACGGCACUCGUACUAAAACUAAGAACAUGGAUCAAAGGUUCGAGCAAUUACAAAAAGACAUGCAAGAUCAAAUGCAAGAGCAGUUGGCCAAAAUGCAGAAUGAAAUGAGGGAGCAGAUGCAAGAGGCUCAGAGAAAUAUGAUGGCUGAAAUGGCUCAGCUGCUGAGAGCCAUUGAUAAAGGAAAAGCUCCUAUGGCGAUCACUGAAGAAGAGAAUGAGGUCCUCCUCCAGGUUUUACCCCGCCUCAUGUGCCCCUGCAAACCGAGGCACCUCCUAGAAGGCCAUCUGUCACAGUGAGGCCUCAACAUGGGCCAGUGGAUGCUGGAAUCCCCAUAAAUUUCCCAUCUGGGUUGGGAAAUAAUUUGGGUGAUAGCUCGGUCAACCCUAUUAUUCCUAAUUUGGAUUUAAUGGAGAAGGAAAGAAUGGCCACUGAAUCCUCGAAACAAUUAGAGGAUCGUUGCAGGUGGUUAGAGGAGAAGUUUAGGGUUUUAGAAGGUGCUGGAAAUCAUCAUGGGAUCGAUGCCAAAGACUUAAGUUUGGUUCCAAAAUUGGUGCUUCCUCAUAAAUUUAAGAUGCCAGAGUUUGAAAAGUACAACGGGACUACUUGCCCAGAGGCGCACAUAACAAUGUUUUGUAGAAGGAUGACUGGCUAUGUGAACAACGAUCAACUAUUGAUCCAUUAUUUUCAGGACAGCCUAACAGGAGCGGCAGCUAGGUGGUACAAUCAGUUGAUCUGUGCAAGGAUCGAUUCAUGGAGAGAUCUUGCACAGGCUUUCAUGGAACAGUAUAACCAUGUGACUGAUAUGACGCCAGAUAGGAUCACACUUCAAAACAUGGAGAAAAAAUCUAAUGAAAGUUUUAGGCAAUAUGCACAACGAUGGAGGGAGGUGGCAAUGCAAGUACAACCACCAUUGUUGGAAAAGGAAACUACCAUGUUAUUUAUUAAUACUUUGAAGGCGCCAUUCUUCACACAUAUGAUUGGAAGUACCACGAAAAGUUUCUCAGAUAUAGUUAUGGCGGGUGAGAUGAUUGAGAAUACCGUGAGAGGCGGUAAAAUCGAGGGGGAAGUGGCUAAAAGAUCGACCCUAAGGGGAAAAGACAAUGAGGAAAAUAACAUGAACAGCUUCAAUUCCAGGGCAAUCACAGUUGAACAACCUAAAGCAGCUACGGGUGAGCAACAAAGUACUCAAAGACAGGAAUCGGGUACAAGAUAGAAUUCAGAGAGGAUGCAAUUCACUCAUAUCCCGGUGACAUAUCGUAAGCUUUAUCAAAGCUUAUACGAUGCACGUGCCAUUGCUCCGUUUCACUUGAAACCGCUACAGCCACCAUGCCCCAAAUGGUAUAAUGCAAAUGCUAAAUGUGAAUAUCAUGCGGGAAUAUCAGGGCAUUCAAUUGAAAACUGCACUGGGUUCAAGAAGGUCGUGGAGAGGCUCAUAAAAAUGGGGGUUGUGAAAUUUGAUAGUACCCCUAAUACUGAAAGCCCGUUACUGGAUCAUGGCAAUCAAGGAGUGAAUGCCAUUGAUGAAACAAAGAAAAGAAAAAUCAAGGAAGACAUUACUGAGUUGAAGACACCUAUGAAGGUAAUAUGGGAGGAGAUGGUGAAGAGAGGUAUGCUGACUUCUAGAAAAGGAGGAGAAGAAAUAGAGAACCAUUGUGAGUUCCAUGGGGAGGGGGGUCAUAUGAUCCAAAAUUGUGAAGAGUUCAAGGUCAUGGUACAAGGCCUUAUAGUUAACAAAGAGUUGCAGGUUUCUGAAGGUAAUUCUUAUGAAGGACAAAUAUGUGUGCUGGAGAAUGAAUGACAAAGAACCAACCAACCGAGAAUUAUUAUUUCCUUGCUAGGGAAUAAUGAGGAGGGGUCGCAAACUAGGCCCAAAAUAGUCAUCCAUAAACCCAAUCCUUUCCCUUAUAAGGAUGAUAGGAGGGUGCCAUGGAGCUAUGAUUGCAAUAUAACAAUACCUGAAGGGGAGAGCAUAGCUAGCGCGUCCAGGGGCACGCAAAAUGAAGGUUCUCAUACACGAAGUGGGAAACGUUAUGACGGUGGGAAUAUCAGAGUAGAGACCGCAAAGACGAAAGAUGUCAAGGCUGAAAGGGAAAAGGAAACUGAAGUACUCAUCAAUGAGCCGGUAAAGGAGGAAGAGGCUAAGGAGUUUCUAAAAUUCCUGAAACAUAGUGAGUAUAGAGUGGUCGAGCAGUUGCACAAGCAGCCAGCGCGUAUAUCAGUGUUAGCCCUACUCUUGAGUUCUGAGGUGCAUCGAGAUGUGUUGUUAAAGGUGCUUAACGAAGCAUAUGUUACCCAUGACAUAUCCGUUAACAAGCUAGACCGGUUAGUAAACAACAUUAGUGCUGACAAUUUUAUUUAUUUUAAUGAUGAUGAAAUUCCACCUGGGGGCAUAGGGUCAACCAAGGCCCUACACAUCACUACUCGGUGCAAAGGAUACACACUUCUAAGUGUACUCGUGGAUAAUGGGUCUGCUUUGAAUGUCCUGCCGCUAUCCACCCUGAACAGAUUGCCCAUUGACAGUUCACAUAUGAAAACGUGUCAUAAUGUGGUAAGAGCCUUUGAUGGAACUGAAAGAAAAGUAAUGGGACGAAUUGACAUCUCUCUGGAGAUUGGGCAGAAUACGUAUGAAGUUGAUUUCCUAGUAAUGGAUAUCAAGCCCUCCUACAAUUGUUUAUUGGGGAGACCAUGGAUACACUCGGCAAGAGCGGUGCCCUCUUCAUUGCACCAAAAAUUAAAGUUAGCGACAGAUGGUCGCUUAAUAACCAUCAAUACGGAAGAGGACAUCAUAGCGGCAGUUACCAACAGAGUCCCUAAUGUUGAGGCAAAUGAAGAGGCUAUUGAAUGUUCUUUCCGCUCUUUAGAGGUCAUUAAUGCCACCUUUAUUUUGGAAGGAAGUGAAGUGCCGAUACCCAAAAUAUCUAGAGCCACAAAGAUAGCCCUACAAAUGAUGAUAGGGAAAGGAGCAUUACCGGGAAAAAGGCUAGGAAGACAAUUGCAAGGAGGGGUUCAAAUCCCAAAACUGAUUGAGAAGAAGGACCACUUUGGCUUGGGCUUCAAGCCAGACCACAAGCACAAGAGGCAGGAAAUAGAGAAGCACUAAGCGAGAAGAAAGGCGCGUUUGAAUGGAAGAGAAGUGGAGUGGGAACCGAUGACAUUCCCACCUAUAUCCAAAUCCUUCAAAUCAGGAGGACUGCUGAUAAAAGAAAGUCAUCAAGUUAAUGCUGUGCACAAUGAAGGAUCGGAGUAAGGAAGCCUCGAGGGCAUUCGCCCUUACGAACCGGGGAGUUCUCUGAAUAAUUGGACUGCGGAAGACCUUCCUGUAGUCUUUAAGAAUUUUUCAGAGUAAUUCUCAAAACAUGUCUGUUACUCUCGGGCCUAGGAGUAGUAAGAUUAUAUUCAUGAAAUAGGCUUAUGUUCAUCUAUAAUUAUUUAAAUAAAACAUAACUUUUUAUCAAUUCAAACGAGUAUUGUUCUAUUUUUAUCGACCAAUAUUCCUUCAAAUUCUAGCAAUUCUUAUUCUUUUAUUCAUAGCACAUAAACAAUCAUUCUUCGAUUAAUUCAUUCUUUGUAUAUUCUUUCAUACCCCCACAGGUCCCUAGAUAUCAAUGAUAUGAGCGCUGAUACUACAGCUCCUAAUUUCUCUAGCGAGCAAGACAUGGGUUUAGAGGAACCUCAGGAUUUUGAAGAUGUUCAAUAUUGUGAUGUAUCUCUCGAUCUGUUAAGAAUGGUUAAGCAGGAGGAGAAGCAAAUCAUGCCAUAUGAGAAAGAGACAAUAGAGAAUGUAGCCCUAGAGGAAGGGAAGGAGUUGAAAAUUGGAACACUAGUUGGCGUGGACACAAGGCAUGGUCUGGUUCAGUUGCUUCGAGAGUUUAAAUAUAUCUUUGCCUGGUCAUAUCAGGAUAUGCCUGGAUUGAGUACUGACAUUGUGGUACAUCGUCUUUCAAUAAGACAAGAUUGUAAGCCAGUCCAACAGAAGUUGCGAAAAAUGAGGCCAGAUAUCGUUUUGAAAAUAAAGGACGAAAUCAAGAAGCAGUUUGAUGCAGGAUUCUUGCAAAAAGUGAAGUACUCCGAAUGGGUAGCUAACAUUGUACCUGUUCCCAAGAAGGAUGGGAAAGUACGAAUGUGUGUUGAUUACAGAGACUUGAAUAAAGCAAGCUCAAAGGAUAAUUUUCCUUUACCCCACAUUGACACUUUAAUAAAUAACACAGCGGGAUAUUCAUUGUUCUCCUUUAUGGAUGGUUUCUCAAGAUACAACCAGAUAAAGAUGCAUCCAGAGGACAUGGAUAAAACCAUCUUUAUAACCUUGUGGGGCACCUUUUGCUAUAAAGUAAUGCCAUUUGGACUAAAAAACGCAGGGGCUACGUACCAAAGGGCCAUGGUGAACUUGUUCCACAACAUGAUGCAUAAGGAUAUUGAGGUAUACGUUGAUGAUAUGAUUGCCAAGUCGCAUACGAAAAAAGAGCAUAUUGAGGUCUUGAGAAGAUUGUUUGUAAGGUUGAGAAAAUUUUAGUUGAAACUUAAUCCAGCAAAGUGUACCUUUGGAGCCAGAUCCAGAAAGUUGUUAGGCUUCGUAGUCAGUGAAAUAGGAAUUAAAGUCGACUCUGACAAGGUCAGAGCCAUACGAGAAUUACCUCCACCACGUACUUAAAAAGAAGUUCGAGGAUUCCUAGGAAGGUUGAAUUACAUUGCUCGGUUCAUUUCACAACUAACUGAGAAAUGUGAUCCUAUCUUUCGCCUCCUUAGAAAGCACAAUCAAGGUAUUUGGGAUGGGGAAUGCUAGAAUACUUUUGAAAAGGUCAAGUAGUAUUUGUUGAAUGCUCCGGUAUUGUCUCCACCCAGCCCAGAUAAACCAUUAAUACUGUACUUAUCAGUGUUCAGUAAUUCUAUGGGAUGUGUGCUUGGUCAGCAUGAUGAGUCAGGAAAAAAGGAGAAGGCAAUCUAUUAUCUCAGUAAGAAGUUCACUGACUAUGAGAUAAGAUAUUCACCAAUUGAAAAGUUAUGUUGUGCUCUGAUUUGGACAAAUCGGGGGUUAAGACAGUACAUGCUAUACCAUACCACUUGGCUCAUCUCAAAGCUUGAUCCAUUGAAAUAUAUGAUGGAGUCAACGGCUCUGAAUGGAAGAAUGGCGAGAUGGCAAAUCUUGCUUUCAAAAUUUGAUAUAAUCUACAUAAGUCAGAAGGCUAUAAAAGGAAGUGCGGUAGCAGAUUUCUUUGCCAGUAGGGCUCUAGAGGAUUAUGAGUCAUUGAACUUCGAUUUUCCAAAUGAGGAGUUGAUGUGUAUAGCAAUGACUGAAAAUUCUUCUUGGAGGCUCAAUUUUGAUGGGGCUUCUAAUGCAGUCGGAAAUGGAAUUGGGGCAGUCUUGGUAUCUCCGAAUGGCGACCAUUAUCCUUUUAUGUGCAAGUUGGACUUUGAUUGCACAAACAAUAUGGCAUAAUAUGAAGCAUGCAUCAUGGGACUUCAAGCAGCUAUAGAGCGAGGAAUAAAAACCCUAGAAGUAUAUGGGGAUUCGGCGUUGGUUAUUUAUCAGCUUAGAGGUGAAUGGGAAACAAGAGACCCUAAAUUGAUCAAUUAUCAAAAGGUAGUUUUGGGGUUACUUGAGGAGUUUGAUGACAUCACCUUCAAUUAUCUCCCACGAGACGAAAAUCAGAUGGUAGAUGCUUUAGCAACCUUGGCCUCAAUGAUUAAGGCGAAUAAAGAAGAAGAGAUAAGACCAAUUCAAAUGAGUGUCUACGAGGCUCCAGCACAUUGUUGCAACAUUGAGAAGGAAGAAGAUGAUGAUAACCCUUGGUAUCAAGAUAUAUUACGAUAUGUGAGGGAUCAUAAAUACCCUGAACAAGCCAAUAAAAAUGACAAACGAACAUUGAGAAGGCUAGCUUGCGACUAUGUCUUGGACGGGGAUAUCCUGUACAAGAGAAGGAAAGACCAGGUACUUUUGAGAUGUGUUGAUGCUAUGGAAGCUAAGCUAAUUUUAGAAGAAGUUUAUGAAGGCGUAUGCGGGACACGUGCAAAUGGGUUUACGAUGGCUAGACAAAUCAUGAGAUUUGGAUAUUAUUUGUCUACCAUGGAAGGGGAUUGUAUCAACUACGCCAAGAAAUGUCAUAAAUGUCAGAUUUAUGGAGGCAAGAAACAUGUACCACCUUCACCUCUACAUGUUAUGACUUCUCCAUAGCCCUUUUCCAUGUGGGGCAUGGAUGCCAUUGGACCAAUAUCACUGAGAGCUUCGAAUGGAAAUUGAUUUAUCUUUCUAGUAAUUGACUACUUCACAAAAUGGGUAGAGGCCACUUCUUACGCAAAUGUUACUAAGUCAGCUGUGAGUCGAUUUUUGAAGAAAGAGAUCAUUUGUCGUUAUGGGAUGCCUGAAAGGAUCAUAUCAGACAAUGCAUUGAACUUGAACAACAAAAUGAUAGCAGAAGUUUGCGACCAGUUCAAGAUUAAGCAUCACAAUUCUUCCCCUUAUCGUCCAAAAAUGAAUGGGGCAGUAGAAGCUGCCAACAAGAACAUUAAGAAAAUAGUGGGGAAGAUGACUGAGACCUAUAGAGAUUGGCAUGAGAAGUUACCGUUUGCACUCCUGGCUUAUCGAACAUCUAUCAGAACCUCUACUGGGGCAACUCCAUUCUCGUUAGUUUAUGGGAUGGAAGCAGUACUACCUAUUGAAGUAGAAAUACCUUCUCUUCGAAUUUUGACGGAAGUAAAGUUAGAUGAAGCUGAGUGGGUUCAAUCCCGGUAUGACCAGCUGAACUUGAUUGAGGAAAAGAGGCUAAAAGCCAUUCGACAUGGUCAGAUGUACCAGAAGCGAAUGAUGCGAGCUUAUGACAAGAAAGUUCAACCAAGAGAAUUCCAUGAGGGAGACCUUGUACUGAAAAAGAUCCUUCCUAUUCAAAAGGAUUUUAGAGGAAAAUGGAUGCCGAAUUGGGAAGGGCCGUAUGUCAUGAAGAAAGCUUUCUCCGGUGGUGCAUUGAUCUUAGCAGAAAUGGAUGGGAAAGGAUUACCUAAUCCAAUGAACUCGGACUCAGUUAAAAAAUACUCUGUCUAAAGAAGAAGAGAAUCUAAGGUGAAAACCAGCAAAGGGCGCCUUGAAAAAAAAUCAAAAACGGAGAGGCCAAGGUGAAAACUCUCAAAGGGCACCUUAUGACCAAAAGGGUUUUGAGUUGAAAACCUGAAAGGGCAGCUCAAAUUUUGAAAAGUACACAGUGAUCUUGUUACAAAGAGCGAAGAAUGCUACAAACUAGGGCAUCAACAGAGUACUUGAGAUCUUUCAAACACAUUUUGAACUCAAGAAAGACUUCAUGGAGCUGGUGUAUAGGCACUCAAGCGGUGAUAUCUAGAGGAUCUAACUUCUAUCUUGUUUUCCAUCUUUAGAUUCUAUUCCUUCCUAAAGAUAGGCCUUCAGAUUAAUUUCCUUUGUAUUCUUUCUUCUUAAUUCAUUCAAAUCCAAUUAUUCUUAAAGAUUUAUCAUCUUUCAUGUUGCAUUGAAAUAAUGAUAGAUGAACUAAAUAUGUUUACAAACGAAGUUUUACGCAUUACUCUAAAAUUUCUAGACAAUACAAGAAACUAAAACAGGACAAUUGUUCGAGAAAUUCACGUAAGAAAGGAUGAAGGAACUCAAGGAAUUUCUUUCGUCCAGUCUAAAGGGAAAAUGAACAAAAUCAAUGAUUCAAUUUUAAUAAAAGAUUGUUUUACAAACAUCCUCAGUGGAUCGUAGCAUUGGAGGAAGGGUACAAGCCUACAGGUUGAGCAAGAAUAAUGCUUUGAACAGACAAAUGAAGGGAUGAGUGGUGGCGUCUAGGAUUGGGGUCAUAUUCGUAAAAUUUUGCAUCAUAACAUGUUUAAUUAGGAACAUCUGACUCAUUUCGAUCAUGGCGUCCUAAUUAUCAGGCAUAAUCAUUCUACAGGAUAACGCGCAUUAAUCCCUUAAGCAGUAGGGUAAUAGGCUGCAGCAUAACAAAUCUGGCCUUCAGAUGUUAUACUGAAGCUGAUCCAAGAUGGUUUGGCAUCCUUGUGUUUACAAGGAGCAAAUCGAAGACAUAGCUGAUUUGGCUUUCACGUGAUUACGAUGAAGCAAAUCUAAGAUGAUUUGUCGUCUCUGUAUUGUCAGAGAACGAAUCGAAGUUUGGCAUCUUCACUUUGAUGGAGAGCAGACACAUAGCAGAUCUCGCCUUUGGAUGUUUAUGCUGAAGCGGAUCCAAGAUGGUUUGGCAUCCUUAUGUUUAUAAGGAGCAAAUCGAAGACAUAGCUGAUUUGGCUUUCACGUGAUUAUGAUGAAGCAAAUCUAAGAUGAUUUAUCAUCUCUAUAUUGUCAAAGAAUGAAUCGAAGUUUGGCAUCUUCACUUUGAUGGAGAGCAGACACAUAGCAAAUCUCGCCUUCGGCUGUUUAUGCUGAAGCGGAUCCAAGAUGGUUUGGAAUCCUUGUGUUUACAAGGAACAAAUCGAAGACAUAGCUGAUUUGGUUUUCACGUGUUUACGUUGAAACAAAUCUAAGAUGAUUUGUCGUCUCUGUAUUGUCAGAGAACAAAUCGAAGUCUGGCAUCUCCAUUUCAAUGGAAAGCAGAUACAUAGCAGAUCUGAUCUUCAGAUGUUUAUACUGAAGCAAGAUCCAAGAUGAUUUGGCAUCCUUGUGCUUACAAGGAACAAAUCGAAGACAUAGCAGAUUUGACUUUCGGAUGUUCCCACACCAAAGCAGAUCCAAGAUAACAGAUCUGGCAUCUCCAUUUCGACGGAGAGCAGAUCGAAGAGAUCAGCAUGGCAUCCCUGUGCUUAUAGGGAACAAGUUGGAAAUAGCAGAUUUGGCAUCCCUGUGUUUAUAAGGAACAAAUCGAAGAUAGCAGGUCUGACAUUCAUGUGCUUACAGUGAAGCAGAUCGAAGAUUUCAGCAUGGCAUCCCUGUGAACAGAUCAAAGAACUCAAAACUCGGCAAGCCCGAGAAAAAUUGGGUCUUUUUAGUCUUUGCUCUAUUCCUGUUAACACAGCAAUAAGCAAAGAGGGGCAGCUGUAGAACCCAUAUUUUGCCCGAGCCUUAAAAUAAAUAAACCAAAUUUUGAAAAAAAAUCAAAAUGUCCAUUUAUACAGUCCUUUUACAGAUCAAAAUACAAACCAGAUCAGCCCAUUAACCCAAUACCGAAGCCCAAGUCAAAAUCCUAGCCCAACUAUCUCAAAACUUUUCAACAAUUCAAACUCUAACUCCACAAGCCUUACGCUGCUGCCUCCAUGUGCUGGCCUCAAGGUGCACAACACCCGAAACAGGUGUCCCAUACCAUCGCCCAUACCUUCUUCCCUCCACGCCUCUGACCACACCUGCAAAAGAAAAGACAAACAAGGAGUAGAAAACCGAAACAAGACACGAACAGUGGUAGAGACAAAGAAAAACAAUAUUUUUCUACUAUUGUAAUCGGCUAUAAAGCCAAGAAGAAGUCAAAACGAAGGAGGGGGACGGAUUGUAAAAAAGACUUUUUUCUUACAAAAAGAAAGAAUGUGACACAGAUAUUAGGAAUCACAACGCAUACAAGCAAAUCAAAAAGUUUGGAAACU
RNAcentral lists this long non-coding RNA (16981 nucleotides) under Gossypium barbadense (sea-island cotton). RNAcentral's name for it is "long non-coding RNA (GBAR_LNC003262)". The record is from RNAcentral. Lineage: Eukaryota; Viridiplantae; Streptophyta; Magnoliopsida; Malvales; Malvaceae.